GCCUAACGCUGAACUGCAACUUGGAGAAGUGGCAAGUCUUCCAGUAUGGGGAGCAAAACGCUAUGGGUCAAGUCCGAUAUCUUUAGGAGAAGUCUUAUUGUGAGGGCGAGUUAUAUAACACCAUAGGACUGGCCGUCCCAUAUGAAAAGAUUAUAUUAGAAUUGAAUGAAGCUUUGUUUAUAUAUUGAUAAUGACAGUAUAUAUAUCGUGUCUUGACUAAUUGCGUGCCAGCAGUCGCGGUAAUACGUAAGAGACUAGUGUUAUUCAUCUUAAUUAGGUUUAAAGGGUACCCAGACGGUCAAUAUAGCUUAUAAAAUGUUAGUACUUGACUAGAGUUUUAUGUAAGAGGGCAUACUUGAGGAGGAGAGAUGAAAUUUCGUGAUACCAAAGGGACUCUGUAAAGGCGAAGGCAGCCCUCUAUGUAAAAACUGACGUUGAAGGACGAAGGCACAGAGAACAAACAGGAUUAGAUACCCAAGUAGUCUUUGCAGUAAAUGAUGAAUGCCAUAGGUUGAUUAAUAGUUAAUGUUUAUAGGCUAAUUAUUGGCUUAGCUUAGCAAACUAAUGCUAUAGACUAGACAUUAAAAAUUAUUUGGUCUAUAAAUGAAAGUGUAAGCAUUUCACCUCAAGAGUAAUGUGGCAACGCAGGAACUGAAAUCACUAGACCGUUUCUGACACC
This 679-nucleotide ribosomal RNA is filed under the name Fusarium redolens. RNAcentral describes it as "SSU rRNA". It matches the Rfam family "Bacterial small subunit ribosomal RNA", at positions 381 to 927 of the family's 1533-position model. The record is from RNAcentral. Lineage: Eukaryota; Fungi; Ascomycota; Sordariomycetes; Hypocreales; Nectriaceae.